This 379-nucleotide ribosomal RNA is filed under the name uncultured bacterium. RNAcentral's name for it is "bacterial SSU rRNA". It matches the Rfam family "Bacterial small subunit ribosomal RNA", at positions 29 to 409 of the family's 1533-position model. The record is from RNAcentral.
AUUGAACGCUGGCGGCAUGCCUUACACAUGCAAGUCGAACGGCAGCACGGGAGUAAUCCUGGUGGCGAGUGGCGAACGGGUGAGUAAUACAUCGGAACGUGCCCAGUAGUGGGGGAUAGCCCGGCGAAAGCCGGAUUAAUACCGCAUACGACCUACGGGUGAAAGCGGGGGAUCGCAAGACCUCGCGCUAUCGGAGCGGCCGAUGUCAGAUUAGGUUGUUGGUGGGGUAAAGGCCUACCAAGCCGACGAUCUGUAGCUGGUCUGAGAGGACGACCAGCCACACUGGGACUGAGACACGGCCCAGACUCCUACGGGAGGCAGCAGUGGGGAAUUUUGGACAAUGGGGGCAACCCUGAUCCAGCCAUGCCGCGUGCGGGAA